This is an RNA transcript of Cyphomyrmex costatus, 1656 nucleotides long. It is a transcript of the gene named probable trans-2-enoyl-CoA reductase, mitochondrial, with no coding region annotated. NCBI's taxonomy places the organism in Eukaryota, Metazoa, Arthropoda, Insecta, Hymenoptera, Formicidae. The record is from RefSeq and is a predicted model, not a curated record. The transcript has 6 exons.
CUAGUUUCCACAAAAUACAUCCACUCUCAGGGUCAUAACAGAACUCGUCGAAGUCGUUGUUCAUCGAAAUAACUAUGUUUGCAGGCCAAUUAACUUUAUCGAUCUCACGAUCAGUUAGAAGUAACUUAACAAAUAUUCAAAAAAUGAGUGUUGCAAUUAAUACUGACUGCGUAAAGUCUCUAUUAUACAAAGAAUACGGCGAUCCUGUUAAAGUUCUUCAAGUAACGACGCAAACAAUAGAACAUCCAAAAGGCGAACAAGUAUCUGUGAAAUGGCUACUAUCUCCGGUAAAUCCAGCUGAUAUAAAUACGAUACAAGGAAAAUAUCCUAGCAGGCCUCCUCUGCCAGCAAUACCAGGGAAUGAAGGGGUUGGAGAAAUAGUAGCAAUUGGAUCUGACGUUCAAGAUUUGCAUGUUGGAGACAGAGUGGUACCAAAUGGUCCUAAUUUUGGAAUCUGGAGAACACAAGCUAAUUAUGAUUCUAAAGAUGUUAUGAAGGUACCAAGUGAUGUUGAUCUAGUUGUAGCCAGUAUGAUGAACGUAAAUCCAUGUACAGCGUAUAGAAUGCUGAAGGAUUUCGUUCCAUUAAAGCCCGGAGAUACUGUGAUACAAAACGGUGGCAAUUCUGCAGUUGGUCAACUGGUCAUUCAAUUAUGUAAAAUAUGGAAUUAUAAGUCGGUCAAUGUUGUUAGAGAUAGACCAAACAUACAGGAAUUGAAGAAUCAAUUAAUGAGCUUAGGAGCAGACGAAGUGCUAACCGAAGAGGAAGUCCGAAAUACACAAUUGUUUAAAAGUAAAAAGUUACCUGCACCUAAAUUAGCUCUUAAUUGCAUUGGUGGACAGAAUGCAACCGAAAUAACGAGACAUCUUGCCCAUGGUGGUAUUAUGGUGACUUACGGCGGUAUGUCUAGAGAACCAUUAACUGUACCAGUAUCUGCACUUAUAUUUAAGGACGUAUCAUUCAAAGGAUUUUGGAUGACAACCUGGACAAAAACAAAUAUGGAAUCUCAGGAGAGAUUGGAUAUGUUUAAGAAUUUAGCAGAUUUCUUUAGGAAUAAGAAAUUGCAACCGCCACCAUAUAAACUGGUGCCUUUUCGCGAAUAUCAAGAAGCCAUUGCUAAAGCGCUCAGUUUCGACGGUCGAAUGGGCGUAAAGUAUAUUCUAGAUUUAACAGAAUCUUAAAAUGUUUUUAUACAUUUGCUACUUUUUUAUAACUCCUAUCAGUAGAUUUGAUAGCAUUUAAAGUUACCAUCUUAGGAUUCUGCAAUAAAAUGCGCAUACUGUUUUCCUUAUGCUUCUGAUAUGACUGAAGCAAAUUAAAAUACUGUUUUGUAAAAUAGAAAUUUUUUGUACGAGAGAAUAUAUUUAUUUCUAGAAACAUCGGUGUAUAUAAAGAAGAUAUAGAAGAAACAAGAAAAUAUAGGAAAAAUUGCAAUGCGUUAUAUGUUUCAGUUAAAAUUUUAAAUUAUUCGAUCUCGUCGAGAAGAUCGAUUCCCAGCUGAACAGCCAACAUGCCUAAUUCUGCUUUCGUGCCGCAGUCUCUUAAAAACUGUUGGCUGUCUUGCCUUGCGCUUUCCGUUAGGCCAUAUGUUGGCAAGUAUCUAUAUUAAAAAACAAAUAAUUGUCCAUACCAUGAUUGGCAUCUGUAUUUUUUUUU